CCGGUGUAAGCUCCUUCGGCCGGAAGAAAUCGCCAUCGAUAAAUACCGUUGUGGAUGACGGUACCCGGAAUAAGAAGCACCGGCUAACUACGUGGCCAGCAGCCGCCGGUAAUACGUAGGGUGGCGAGGCGUUAAUCGGAAUUACUGGGCGUAAAGCGUGCGCAGGCGGUUUUGUAAGACAGGCGUGAAAUCCCCGGGCUCAACCUGGGAACUGCGCUUGUGACUGCAUCACUUGAGUACGGCAGAGGGGGGUGGAAUUCCAUGUGUAGCAGUGAAAUGCGUAGAGAUGUGGAGGAACACCAAUGGCGAAGGCAGCCCCUGGGUCGAUACUGACGCUCAUGCACGAAAGCGUGGGUAGCAAACAGGAUUAGAUACCCUGGUAGUCCACGCCCUAAACGAUGUCAACUAGGUGUUGGGAGGGUAAAACCUUUUAGUACCGGAGCUAACGCGUGAAGUUGACCGCCUGGGGAGUACGGCCGCAAGGUUAAAACUCAAAGGAAUUGACGGGGACCCGCACAAGCGGUGGAUGAUGUGGAUUAAUUCGAUGCAACGCGAAAAACCUUACCUACCCUUGACAUGUCCAGGAGCCUGAAGAGAUUUGGGUGUGCCCGAAAGGGAGCUGGAACACAGGUGCUGCAUGGCUGUCGUCAGCUCGUGUCGUGAGAUGUUGGGUUAAGUCCCGCAACGAGCGCAACCCUUGUCGUUAAUUGCCAUCAUUUAGUUGGGCACUUUAACGAGACUGCCGGUGACAAACCGGAGGAAGGUGGGGAUGACGUCAAGUCCUCAUGGCCCUUAUGGGUAGGGCUUCACACGUCAUACAAUGGUCGGUACAAAGGGUUGCCAAGCCGCGAGGUGGAGCCAAUCCCAGAAAGCCGAUCGUAGUCCGGAUUGUAGGCUGCAACUCGCCUGCAUGAAGUCGGAAUCGCUAGUAAUCGUGGAUCAGCAUGUCACGGUGAAUACGUUCCCGGGUCUUGUACACACCGCCCGUCACACCAUGGGAGCGGGUUCCGCCAGAAGUAGGUAGCCUAACCGCGAGGGG
This 1039-nucleotide ribosomal RNA is filed under the name uncultured bacterium. RNAcentral's name for it is "bacterial SSU rRNA". It matches the Rfam family "Bacterial small subunit ribosomal RNA", at positions 420 to 1448 of the family's 1533-position model. The record is from RNAcentral.